UACAGAGGGUGCAAGCGUUAAUCGGAAUUACUGGGCGUAAAGGGCGCGUAGGUUGCUAAUUAAGUUGGAUGUGAAAUGUUUGGGCUUAACCUGAAACGGCCAUCCAAUACUGGUUAGCUAGAGUACAGUAGAGGGAAGGGGAAUUUCCGGUGUAGCGGUGAAAUGCGUAGAUAUCGGAAGGAACAUCAGUGGCGAAGGCGCCUUCCUGGACUGAUACUGACACUGAGGCGCGACAGCGUGGGGAGCGAACAGG
Molecule: ribosomal RNA, 253 nt
Filed under: uncultured bacterium
Lineage: Bacteria
Description: partial 16S ribosomal RNA
Rfam family: Bacterial small subunit ribosomal RNA
Source: RNAcentral